CCUACGGGUGGCUGCAGUGAGGAAUCUUGGUCAAUGGACGCAAGUCUGAACCCGCAAUGCCGCGUGCAGGAUGACGGCUCUAUGAGUUGUAAACUGCUUUUGUACGAGGGUAAAACCCGAUACGUGUAUCGGGUUGCAAGUAUCGUCCGAAUAAGGCUCGGCUAACUCCGUGCCAGCAGCCGCGGUAAUACGGAGGAUCCGAGCGUUCUCCGGAUUUAUUGGGUUUAAAGGGUGCGUAGGCGGUUUGAUAAGUUAGAUGUGAAAUGUCGGGGCUCAACCCCGAAACUGCCUCUAAUACUGUUGGACUUGAGAAUAGUUGCGGUAGGCGGAAUGUAUGGUGUAGCGGUGAAAUGCUUAGAGAUCAUACAGAACACCGAUGGCGAAGGCAGCUUACCAAACUAUAUCUGACGUUGAGGCACGAAAGCGUGGGUAGCAAACAGGAUUAGAUACCCUUGUAGUC
This 460-nucleotide ribosomal RNA is filed under the name uncultured bacterium. Its description in RNAcentral is "partial 16S ribosomal RNA". It matches the Rfam family "Bacterial small subunit ribosomal RNA", at positions 338 to 795 of the family's 1533-position model. The record is from RNAcentral.